AGUGAACGCUGGCGGUAGGCCUAACACAUGCAAGUCGAACGGCAGCACAGUAAGAGCUUGCUCUUACGGGUGGCGAGUGGCGGACGGGUGAGGAAUACAUCGGAAUCUACUUUUUCGUGGGGGAUAACGUAGGGAAACUUACGCUAAUACCGCAUACGACCUACGGGUGAAAGCAGGGGAUCUUCGGACCUUGCGCGAUUGAAUGAGCCGCUGUCGGAUUAGCUAGUUGGCGGGGUAAAGGCCCACCACGGCGACGAUCCGUAGCUGGUCUGAGAGGAUGAUCAGCCGCACUGGAACUGAGACACGGUCCAGACUCCGACGGGAGGCAGCAGUGGGGAAUAUUGGGCAGUGGGCGCAAGCCUGAUCCAGCCAUACCGCGUGGGUGAAGAAGGCCUGCGGGUUGUAAAGCCCUUUUGUUGGGAAGGAAAAGCAGCAGGUUAAGACCCCGCUGUUCGGACGGUACCCAAAGAAUAAGCACCGGCUAACUUCGU
This 491-nucleotide ribosomal RNA is filed under the name uncultured bacterium. RNAcentral's name for it is "partial 16S ribosomal RNA". It matches the Rfam family "Bacterial small subunit ribosomal RNA", at positions 29 to 506 of the family's 1533-position model. The record is from RNAcentral.